CCUACGGGAGGCAGCAGUGGGGGAUAUUGCACAAUGGGGGGAACCCUGAUGCAGCGACGCCGUGGGCGAAGAAGCGCCUCGGCGCGUAAAGCCCUGUCAGUAGGGAAGAAAAAGACGGUACCUGAAGAAGAAGCCCCGGCUAACUACGUGCCAGCAGCCGCGGUAAUACGUAGGGGGAAGGCGUUAUCCGGAUUGAGGGGGUGUAAAGGGGGCGAAGACGGCGAUGCAAGGCAGGAGUGAAAGCCCGGGGCCCAACCCCGGGACUGCGCUUGGAAGUGCGUGGCUGGAGUGCGGGAGGGGCAGGCGGAAUUCCUGGUGUAGCGGUGAAAUGCUUAGAUAUCAGGAGGAACACCGGUGGCGAAGGCGGCCUGCUGGACUGCAACUGACGUUGAGGCCCGAAAGCGUGGGGAGCAAACAGGAUUAGAUACCCUAGUAGUC
This 438-nucleotide ribosomal RNA is filed under the name uncultured bacterium. RNAcentral describes it as "partial 16S ribosomal RNA". It matches the Rfam family "Bacterial small subunit ribosomal RNA", at positions 338 to 795 of the family's 1533-position model. The record is from RNAcentral.